CCUACGGGAGGCAACAGUCGAGAAUCAUUCACAAUGGGGGAAACCCUGAUGGUGCGACGCCGCGUGGGGGAAUGAAGGUCUUCGGAUUGUAAACCCCUGUCAUGUGGGAGCAAAUUAAGACGAUAGUACCCCAAGAGGCAGAGACUGCUAACUCUGUGCCAGCAGCCGCGGUAAUACAGAGGUGUCAAGCGUUGUUCGGAAUCACUGGGCGUAAAGGGGGCGUAGGCUGUUUCGUAAGUCGGGUGUGAAAGGCGCGGGCUCAACCCGCGGACGGCACAUGAUACUGCGAGACUAGAGUAAGGGAGGGGGAACCGGAAUUCCCGGUGUAGCAGUGAAAUGCGUAGAUAUCGAGAGGAACACUCGUGGCGAAGGCGGGUUCCUGGACAGUAACUGACGCUGAGGCACGAAGGCCAGGGGAGCGAAAGGGAUUAGAUACCCUAGUAGUC
This 446-nucleotide ribosomal RNA is filed under the name uncultured bacterium. RNAcentral's name for it is "partial 16S ribosomal RNA". It matches the Rfam family "Bacterial small subunit ribosomal RNA", at positions 338 to 795 of the family's 1533-position model. The record is from RNAcentral.